UAACCUUCCAUGCACAGAUCAAAACAAAAAAAAUAACAAAAACCCAUAUGUUUAUAACCGAAAUGCAAUAAUAAUACACCCGAACCCAAAAUAUCAUAUUAACCACAGUUUUGCAGCAACCAUCAGAAAGCGCUUUCGACGGUGGAUCCGCAGUAAAAUUACUUUCAAGUUAAUUUCGAACCAAUAGUGAACAAGUGUAGGGGGGUCCUACAGAAUACGACCGACGCAUAAUGAGAACUUCUGUUACACACUUAACAUACACGGAUAACAUAAAUUUCAACACCUGUAUCGGAAAUAUUUGAUGGAACACGCAUUGAGGAUUGGGGAUCUGAGGAUUGCAUCACUUUUCCCCUGAUACUCUUGCAGAUAUUUCUUGAGACCAUUCUUGGGCCAAAUGGUACCGUACCGUAACUGUUUUUUAUUAAAUAAUAUUAAAAAUGGGGCGUACAAAAUUUUGUCCGUCAUCGGACAUUCAACUUGAAUUGACGAGUUUAUGGUAUCGGCGACAUCUGACGAGUUUCUCACUACAACACUCACUACCCGGCACUCGAAGAGUAUGCAAGUUGAUAUUCGAUUUUUCAUGCCUAGUUCUCAGAGACUAUUGUGGGAAGACUUGCGAUAUAUCGCACUGAAAAUGAUCUACCAGAUUUAAGAAUUUGGAUUGGAUCGCGUCUCAGUUUGAAUAGUAUUGAAAAAACCGAACGAGCCGUCAUGGAUCAGAUGAGUGCUCGCGUAGGAGGUCUUCUAUAAAACUGAAUAGAACAAAAUGUUCUUUUAGGUCUUUAUUUACACAUAUAGCAUAUUUUUUUCUUUAGUAAUACAUCGAGCUUACAACUAGUCUGCGGUUUUUUCACACGGAUU
This is a long non-coding RNA of Drosophila miranda, 861 nucleotides long. RefSeq lists it as uncharacterized. The transcript has 4 exons. The record is from RefSeq and is a predicted model, not a curated record. Lineage: Eukaryota; Metazoa; Arthropoda; Insecta; Diptera; Drosophilidae.